Mitsuokella sp. oral taxon 131 is the source of this 1563-nucleotide ribosomal RNA. It matches the Rfam family "Bacterial small subunit ribosomal RNA". NCBI's taxonomy places the organism in Bacteria, Bacillati, Bacillota, Negativicutes, Selenomonadales, Selenomonadaceae. The record is from Rfam.
UCCUAGGAGAGUUUGAUCCUGGCUCAGGACGAACGCUGGCGGCGUGCUUAACACAUGCAAGUCGAACGAGACGGAUUGGGAGCUUGCUCCUGACAAGUCGAGUGGCAAACGGGUGAGUAACGCGUAGACAACCUGCCGCAAAGAUGGGGACAACAGCCCGAAAGGGCUGCUAAUACCGAAUGUUGCGCCCCUCCCGCAUGGGAGGGGCGCCAAAGAUGGCCUCUGCCUGCAAGCCAUCGCUUUGCGAUGGGUCUGCGCCUGAUUAGCCAGUUGGCGGGGCAACGGCCCACCAAGGCGACGAUCAGUAGCCGGUCUGAGAGGAUGGACGGCCACAUUGGGACUGAGACACGGCCCAGACUCCUACGGGAGGCAGCAGUGGGGAAUCUUCCGCAAUGGGCGAAAGCCUGACGGAGCAACGCCGCGUGGGUGAAGAAGGUCUUCGGAUCGUAAAGCCCUGUUGCCCGGGACGAACGCCCCCGGCGCGAACAGCGCCGGGGGGUGACGGUACCGGGCGAGGAAGCCACGGCCAACUACGUGCCAGCAGCCGCGGUAAUACGUAGGUGGCGAGCGUUGUCCGGAAUCAUUGGGCGUAAAGGGAGCGCAGGCGGGCAUGCAAGUCCAUCUUAAAAGCGCGGGGCCCAACCCCGCGAGGGGAUGGAAACUGCGUGCCUUGAGUGCAGGAGAGGAAAGCGGAAUUCCCAGUGUAGCGGUGAAAUGCGUAGAUAUUGGGAGGAACACCAGUGGCGAAGGCGGCUUUCUGGACUGCAACUGACGCUGAGGCUCGAAAGCCAGGGGAGCGAACGGGAUUAGAUACCCCGGUAGUCCUGGCCGUAAACGAUGAAUGCUAGGUGUGGGGGGUAUCGACCCCUCCCGUGCCGGAGUCAACGCAAUAAGCAUUCCGCCUGGGGAGUACGGCCGCAAGGCUGAAACUCAAAGGAAUUGACGGGGGCCCGCACAAGCGGUGGAGUAUGUGGUUCAAUUCGACGCAACGCGAAGAACCUUACCAGGGCUUGACAUUGAGUGAAAGGGCCGGAGACGGCCCCCUCCCCUCGGGGACACGAAAACAGGUGGUGCAUGGCUGUCGUCAGCUCGUGUCGUGAGAUGUUGGGUCAAGUCCCGCAACGAGCGCAACCCCUGUCCCUCGUUGCCAGCGCGCAAAGGCGGGGACUCAAGGGAGACUGCCGCGGACAACGCGGAGGAAGGCGGGGACGACGUCAAGUCAUCAUGCCCCUUAUGCCCUGGGCUACACACGUACUACAAUGGGAUGGACAGAGGGCAGCGAGCCCGCGAGGGCGAGCGAACCCCGGAAAGCAUCCCCCAGUUCGGAUUGCAGGCUGAAACCCGCCUGCAUGAAGUUGGAAUCGCUAGUAAUCGCAGGUCAGCAUACUGCGGUGAAUACGUUCCCGGGCCUUGUACACACCGCCCGUCACACCACGGAAGUCAUUCACACCCGAAGCCGGCGACGCAACCGCAAGGAGCCAGCCGCCCAAGGUGGGGGCGAUGACUGGGGUGAAGUCGUAACAAGGUAGCCGUAUCGGAAGGUGCGGCUGGAUCACCUCCUUU